This 270-nucleotide ribosomal RNA is filed under the name uncultured bacterium. Its description in RNAcentral is "partial 16S ribosomal RNA". It matches the Rfam family "Bacterial small subunit ribosomal RNA", at positions 29 to 328 of the family's 1533-position model. The record is from RNAcentral.
AGCGAACGCUGGCGGCAGGCUUAACACAUGCAAGUCGAGCGCCCCGCAAGGGGAGCGGCAGACGGGAGAGUAACACGUGGGAACGUACCCUUCAGUUCGGAACAACCCAGGGAAACUUGGGCUAAUACCGAAUACGUCCGUAAGGAGAAAGAUUUAUCGCUGAAGGAUCGGCCCGCGUCUGAUUAGCUAGUUGGUGGGUAACGGCCCGACCAAGGCUACGAUCAGUAGCUGGUCUGAGAGGAUGAUCAGCCUCACUGGGACUGAGACACG